GAUGAACGCUGGCGGCGUGCCUAAUACAUGCCAGUCGAGCGAACAGACGAGGAGCUUGCUCCUCUGACGUUAGCGGCGGGCGGGUGAGUAACACGUGGAUAACCUACCUAUAAGACUAGGAUAACUUCGGGAAACCUGAGCUAAUACCCGAUAAUAUAUUGAACCGCAUGGUUCAUUAGUGAAAGCCGGUUUUGCUGUCACUUAUAGAUGGAUCCGCGCCGCAUUAGCUAGUUGGUAAGGUAACGGCUUACCAAGGCAACGAUGCGUAGCCGACCUGAGAGGGUGAUCGGCCACACUGGAACUGAGACACGGUCCAGACUCCUACGGGAGGCAGCAGUAGGGAAUCUUCCGCAAUGGGCGAAAGCUUGACGGAGCAACGCCGCGUGAGUGAUGAAGGUCUUCGGAUCGUAAAACUCUGUUAGUAGGGAAGAACAAAUGUGUAAGUAACUAUGCACGUCUUGACGGUACCUAAUCAGAAAGCCACGGCUAACUACGUG
Molecule: ribosomal RNA, 497 nt
Filed under: uncultured bacterium
Lineage: Bacteria
Description: partial 16S ribosomal RNA
Rfam family: Bacterial small subunit ribosomal RNA
Source: RNAcentral